GUUCCCAACCUGGCAGAAUGUGAUCUCCUGGAGUCCCCUGAAUUUCUUAGAAGACAGAAGCCCAGGGAGGAUUCCCCAAAGCAGAAUGCAAGGCUGAAGAAAUGAAAGAAUAAUUUAGAGCCUUA
This is a long non-coding RNA of Neopelma chrysocephalum (saffron-crested tyrant-manakin), 125 nucleotides long. RefSeq lists it as uncharacterized. NCBI's taxonomy places the organism in Eukaryota, Metazoa, Chordata, Aves, Passeriformes, Pipridae. The transcript is spliced from 2 exons. The record is from RefSeq and is a predicted model, not a curated record.